UGCUCCCCUCUCUCUCGUCUUUACCCUCUGACCAUCAAGAGCUCAGCCACGACACCUUCCCAUGGCUAGGGUUUCGAGGGUGGUGUCCCCUCCAACUCCAGCGCGGCGCCGGCGAUUCUUCUCCGCCCUGAUGAACAACGCGGUGCUCUUCGACCAGGCCACCUACACAGAUCAUGCCCGCCGUCCUCUCCGAGCGCCUCAGGUAGCAGCAUGGGCGAGUUGAGGUGGGGGACAGAGAGGUUGUGUCGUGCGGGUUCUGAUCAUGGUAUAGCAGCACACUUUCCAGCGUCGAUCUGAGCAAACGAUGAUGCAAGGCUGCUCCUCCUUGUACUGCAUGUCUUCAUUGACUCGAUUCUUUGACAGGGAGAUAUUUAAAGCAUUCACUUGUUCAUUGUGUCAUCUGCUGAUUACUUUUUCUAUUAUUUUCUUGCAAAGCAUGUAAUGGUUUGGAGUAGUUGAUCAUGGCCUGAUGGAACAUUCAUGUUGUUAGCAUGUAUAUAUCUACACUAUUACAGCAGCUUGUUGAUCAAGCGCUUCUUUCUAUCUAAAUGUGUGCACAGAAGUUCAGUUACCUUCUAAAAAAUUAUUGGUGCACUAUCUAUCUAUAUAUAUACACUAUCUAUAUAUAUAUACACUAUUACAGCAGCUUGUUGAUCAAGCGCUUCUUUCUAUCUAUAUAUAUACACUAUCUAAAUUGUUUGCAACGGCAUUAUGCACAUGAGGCAGGACUAUACAAGUGAAAUGUCACAGUAAGGUCCUUCCAUGGAUUUCAUGUGGCUCCUUGAGUUGUAAGAUGCAGCUCCAACAUUGAAUAUAUUUUGAAUGUUUCCAAAGAUACUCUCUGUUACGUUUACUUCAAUAUAUACAUGCAUGUUACUGAUAGAAGCUGGCUGCAGGAAUCCGUACACAUAUAUACUCUCUUGUACAGUACAUUGCUAGAUCACUCACUAGGCAUUAUGUAAUACUACUAGGAGAAAUGGGUGAGGGACUAAAAGGAUGAUACGCUUCCAUGAAUAUAUUUGUAAGAAGUUUUUCUUGGUUGUGUACAAAUCAGCCCAAAUGAAUUUAUGUUCUUUUUACUUCUAGAGUUAUAGUGCACUCAUACUGUCAUCACAUUGCGUGUUCUUGCAGCAUAUACCUCUCUAUUAGCUUAGGCAGACAAACUACUUAUGUAAUAUGCAAACAACAUCAACAUAGCUAGUGAUGCUAAUUCUACCUCUUGUUACAGAAUCAGAAUUCCUCUUGUUGCACGGGACAACUCAGUUUCCUCUUGUUACAGAAUCAGAAUUCCUCUGCUUCUUAUGCUACUCUACUAGAACUCUGCUUUUCUACUUGUCAUAUUGAAUAUACAUGUUCUAAACAUUAUACAGUACUUUCGUUGUUAACUCCAAACAACUUGGGAUCUUCUCUUCUGCAUGCAGCAACUGGCUUACCAGUACGCCGCCAAGGGGGCAUGCCUUGCCCUGGUAGCAAGGAGGGAGUGGAGCCUGUGGCAGGUCGCCGACCGCGCCUUCGAGCUCGGCGUGCCGGACGUGAUCAUUCUCCCCGGGGACGUCGCGCCCGACGACUACAACAGAUUUGUUCAGGCCACAAUCGACCACUACGGCCAAUGGCGACCGUGGAAGGCAUGAUGAUAGUUCAUAUUGUCAUUCUGUUAGUCAGUGUAAUGAAGGUCAUGGCCUAGUCAAGUAUGGUCGCCCAUUGAGUCGUGCAUAUGUUUCAUAUUAUUGGAGCAGGGGCCCAGUUUGUGCCGAUUGUCACUGCAUAUGUUUAACAGUGAUUCUACUUGUAUAUGUGUUAUUACACUAGUAGAAUUUGUACAUGUGCGAUGACUGGAGCAGGAUCCCAAUAUUUGUAGAGAUUGUAACAUUGAUUGUCACUGUAUACAGAUUCAUUCUGGU
This is a long non-coding RNA of Triticum aestivum (bread wheat), 1901 nucleotides long. RefSeq lists it as uncharacterized. The transcript has 3 exons. NCBI's taxonomy places the organism in Eukaryota, Viridiplantae, Streptophyta, Magnoliopsida, Poales, Poaceae. The record is from RefSeq and is a predicted model, not a curated record.